Folsomia candida is the source of this 4349-nucleotide RNA transcript. RefSeq lists it as uncharacterized. The record is from RefSeq and is a predicted model, not a curated record. The transcript is spliced from 12 exons. Lineage: Eukaryota; Metazoa; Arthropoda; Collembola; Entomobryomorpha; Isotomidae.
ACGUCUAAUGCCGUUCUGUAGUUGUUCAGAUUGAUUCAUUCAGAGGAAAGGAACCUGCCCUUACUUUUCCUUGUUAGAACUAACGAGUGGUUAAAUUUGGCAGUGCAUUUCAUUAGAAUAUUGUUCGUUCUACGUAAGAAGUGGAGAAUAAAUUAGUGGUGCCAAGUACAGGAAAGUACAGCUCGAUGCCUUGGGAUUGGUUUAUUGGAGUAAAAGUCGAUCAAUGAAGAAUUGGAAGCUAAUCCACAAAAAUUUACCCAGACGGAAAAAUUUCAAUUUUCAAAAUAUAAUAUUUAGGUGUCAUUGAAUUUUUAAUUCUUGGGAGGCAAGCAAUCGAUAGCACAAAUUCGAUACAUACUCACCAUUUAUGGUGAACAAUAUCCGUUAAAAUAUAUACUAUUCAUCCUUCGGAGAUAUGUAUACACAUGAAGAUUUUCAUGCUUUUUAGAUGCUUUACGAACCACACUACUUAAACACCGGGCCCUUCGUCAUCGAAAGAUUCGAAGGAUUUCUGUUUGCUGAGAGCUUUAGAAAAUUGCCACUAUACUUGGAAUCUUGGCAACAUGAUUGGCGUAUCAUCUGGUUUCGUUCAAGAGACAAAAGCGUGACAAAUAUUGAAAAAUUAUCUGAAUUGAAGAUCAGCUCUAACAGCUUACACACGUCCCAGUUCAGUCAUCGUUAUGAUGCUAAACAAGAAAAUUCUAUUCUUUCCUCAGAAAUCAUGGACGAACUCCGUAGCGAAUCGAAUUCUUUUAGCAACAUCGGCGAAUUUAUGCAUUAUGCGAAAACUCGUAGUAAUGAAAUUGAGAUGCAGAAUAGAGACAUUAUUGGACUAAAAUCUCUUAUGAACUUUGUAGUAGACAAUAAAUCUCGUCAGCUUUAUCUCACCCAACCUUUAACAAGUCCAGAUUUGGAAGACCCUUUGCAGUUAUUUGACAACCCGUUAUGUCGCUUUGACGAUGUUGAUAACAAUGAUGUGAAAUUACCAAAAAUUCAUGUUGGCCAAUCUGGAGUAAUUCUUCCUUUUCAAUCCGAAGUUCACAACCUUGCCAGCAUCAAUAUUUGUCAUGCUGGAUGCAAAUCCUGGAUUAUUAUCCAUCCGUCCUCUGCUCAAGAGUUUGUGAGAAGGGUUGCCCACUGCGUGUAUCUAGAUGGCGUUCCCCCAGAAGCAUUUGAUUGUUUCGUUAGAAAUAAAAAGUAUGCUGUGACAUUACAACAAUUAGACUUAUGGAGAGUUCACUAUACGUUGAUCUUCCAGGAAGAAGGUGAUGUUGUAAUAACGUUACCAGGAGUAAUACAUGCAUCAUGUAAUUUAACAUUCUGCAUUAGUAGCUCAAUGAAUUUUCUUACGCUUGUUCGAGAAGAUGCAGAAAUUAUACAGGAAUCAUACCAGAAGUGCAUGUGUCACGAGAGGCACGGUACUUGGAUUAAUGACAUUCCUUCAAAAAGUAACCAAAUGAUUUGGGAGUGGAUGUAUUACGAAUUAAUCACAAAAUCUCAAAAUCAUCCAAAUACUAGUUCAAAUAUAUCAAGCAAAUCUCAUGGCAAUCCCAUGCACAAAAAUGUAUCAAUUCAAGAGUUAGAAGACCCCAACUGCACAACUUCACCAUUAAAUUCAAUGUCCUCAUGUCCCUCCAACUAUUUUAGUGGUGACAAAAUACCAGGUCAUUGCCACAACACGGCAUGGACAAAAUGGAGUAGUAAACUCUGUUCGAUAGGAGACGAUUUAUGCGAGAGAAGUGACCUUCAGCAAGAAUACCAGAAAAUAUGCGCAGAAAUCCAAGAGUUUUGUAUUCAAGUGGAUAAUUUUGCGGUGAAACGCUCUGAACCAGACAUGGUCGAAAUAGAACCUGCAAUACACCUGACCGAAAUAGGUCAGAUGAGUAGUGCCCAAAAUUCUGUCCGAAAUAAUAAUAACGAUACAGUUGUAUUCAAAUCUUCACAACAUGAACCCUUUCCAAUCUCCGAGGAAAAUGCAACACCACGACAUGAAGAAAUUGUAACGAUUGAGACGGCAGAAAUUUCUCCAUUAGCGAUAAAACAUGAAUUGAGGCCGCAUGAAAUUUAUCAGAAUCAGAAUCUCAAACCAGAAACAACUGCGAAGCAGAUCUCAAUGCAACGCUUAACAAAGUACAACUGUCCCCAAUGCUCUAGGCAAUUAAGCAGCAAAGCUCACCUUCAACGGCAUAUGUACCUCAAACACUCCCCAGAAGACAUAUCCGUGCAAUGUCCAAUUUGCUUGAAAAUAUUUAAAAACGACGUGAGCCUCCAGCGGCACCGGCGCCCAAUGUCUACUCGUCCAUCUCGAAGAAGGAACUUGUGCAGAGGACUCACUGAACGAAUCAAAGAUGACAAUCGAUUACGGUGCCCGAUUUGCGGACAAUUGUUCGUGCAAAAAAGUGGGUAUAACAGACACUUUAAAAAUAAGCACAAGCAGGGUACAAAAGUUGAGUCUAAAAUUGAUUAGGACUCAAUUUUGAAACUUAAAUUUAAAAAUCCUGUAAAAUAAAAUUGUAGAUAAUAAAUUAGUAAGACUGUUGUAUGCAGUAUUCAUAAGCCAUCUUUGAUUCGGAGAAUUUGUUUAUCAUUCAUCAAAUAGUUGCUUAUUCGUGGUACAGAUCCGGGAAAUUUGUAUACGUUAUCUACGAAAUAAAAUGAUUUCGCAGAAUACCGAAUUACUUAUAUAGAGGUUUGUACAUAUGUAUGUAUCAAUGAUUUACUCAUUAAAUGUUUUUGCACGACCACUGUUUUAUUAUUUUGAACAUGUGCGUAAGCAAAAUACAUAUGGCUGUUUGUCCAAAAUAUGGUCAUCUGUCAAGUAUUUAAUUUAUUUUUAUAGCUUGUUUUUAGAAACUCCUGCACAUAUAUGUGCAAUGUAAUCUAUGUACAUACACACACAUACAUACAUAUGUACAUAUGUACACAUUUAGAACUUUAUAUUGAGCUUUUACUCCAUAGUUGAGUACGGCAAUAUUGACUAUUUCUUGGUAAGCCAUUAAUGUCAUUAUUAAUGAUACUUUUGUCAGUUAGUCAUGCAUACUUACAUAUUUACAGAUAAAUUUUGUUUGAAAACAUUUUACCUCACCUUUAUAAAGACCAAUUUUGAUGAAUAAUUUGUAGAAUCUGCAGAAUUUGCAACUUAGGAACUUACUAAACUUAACUCCUUAACAUAUUUCCCAAAUAUAUGACACACAAACCAUGGGUAUCUUUACAUUCACAGUACUAUUAGUGGUAGCUCUUACAGAUAUAUUUUCCAUACAAUUGACCACUGCUCAAAGUAUUAAUUACUUCGGCGUAGCAUUUUCCCCUUAUGUGAAGAAAGGACCUCCGUAUCCCUACUGGGAUAGCUAUACAUUGGCAGAAAUUAAGCAAAUGUUGCGCAUCAUCCUUACAAAACACAACUCCAUAAGUACAUACGGAAUGGGUGUAGCAAGUUAUAACAAUGGCAAGCCAUGGGACAAAUGCGAUAGCAAUGCUCUCAUAGCUUGAGCAGCUUCAGAAAUCAAUCGUGACUACAACUCGGUGGUUAUCUCGGUUUCUCAGGGUAUCAACCAGCUUGAAGAUGCCAACUUAAUGAAUCGGGAAAUCAACAAUGCAUUUUCGGCAGCUCAAGAAGCCAACUCGGUGAAGCCUGGGACUGUGUGGGGUCUCACCUUUACAAAUGAAUACGUAACAAAUGCACAAACUGGGAAUAGGGUUUUGAAAAUGAUUCAAGACAACAAGGCUCGGGCACAAGGUUUAAGGCUCAGUGUGGGCACCAGAGUCAAUAUCUGUCGCCAAAUAUGGGGCGGAGAAAACCAAGCUGUUUUGAUAAAUAUUGCGAAAUCAUCGGAUUUUAUCAUGUGCAAUCUCUAUCCUGGGCCUGGAGCCAAUAAUCCGGAUCGAGCAGUGCAGGAAAUAUCCGACGCUUAUUACUCCGCAAGAGAUGGAUUCUGGCGUUACAACAAGAACAUUGAGGUAAUUAUUGGCGAAACAGGAUGGGCGUCUGAAGGUGCAACUUUUAACAAUGCGGUUAACACGAUUGAAAAUGAACGAAAAUUUUGGGAAGGGAUGAAAAACUGGGCGCAAACCAAUCGUGUCAAAGUUCAAAUGUUUGAAGCCUUCGAUGAACCAUGGAAAACAAAUGGAGAAGGAGAAAAACACUUUGGGUGGUGGAAUCGACCCAACAAUAAUGAGGGAAGGUAUAUCGAAAAGGCUACUGGGAAAGUGUUUACCUGACAAGUUAAAAUUAUAUCUACAAUACGUGGUAAUAUGUAUGUACAUAGCUGCAUAAUUUUUAAAUAAAAUUCUCUAUUUGCAAGUAAAAUUACAUAACAUGUACAGAAUAAAGAAGAAUUUAGAAGUAUAAA